Molecule: ribosomal RNA, 596 nt
Filed under: Alternaria brassicicola
Lineage: Eukaryota; Fungi; Ascomycota; Dothideomycetes; Pleosporales; Pleosporaceae
Description: partial 18S ribosomal RNA
Rfam family: 5.8S ribosomal RNA (bases 219-372)
Source: RNAcentral
GGAAGUAAAAGUCGUAACAAGGUCUCCGUAGGUGAACCUGCGGAGGGAUCAUUACACAAAUAUGAAGGCGGGCUGGAAUCUCUCGGGGUUACAGCCUUGCUGAAUUAUUCACCCUUGUCUUUUGCGUACUUCUUGUUUCCUUGGUGGGUUGCCCACCACUAGGACAAACAUAAACCUUUUGUAAUUGCAAUCAGCGUCAGUAACAAAUUAAUAAUUACAACUUUCAACAACGGAUCUCUUGGUUCUGGCAUCGAUGAAGAACGCAGCGAAAUGCGAUAAGUAGUGUGAAUUGCAGAAUUCAGUGAAUCAUCGAAUCUUUGAACGCACAUUGCGCCCUUUGGUAUUCCAAAGGGCAUGCCUGUUCGAGCGUCAUUUGUACCCUCAAGCUUUGCUUGGUGUUGGGCGUCUUGUCUCUAGCUUUGCUGGAGACUCGCCUUAAAGUAAUUGGCAGCCGGCCUACUGGUUUCGGAGCGCAGCACAAGUCGCACUCUCUAUCAGCAAAGGUCUAGCAUCCAUUAAGCCUUUUUUCAACUUUUGACCUCGGAUCGUAGGGAUACCCGCUGAACUUAAGCAUAUCAAUAAGCGGAGGAAUCUUG